AAAACGUCUAGCUUCCCCCUCAGUUAAGUGUUCAAAGUGUCCUAACUUCCAGCUUUGAAAUAGGACUGAAGAUGAACCAUGCUCCUGGCACCCCCUGUUGAGAGCCCAAGUUCAGCAGAUUGCGGCCAUGGGGGACUGAAAAUGGAGCCCUGGACAAAGACACUUGCUGGGUGACCCAAGGACACUGCAAUCUCUCCCUCAUAAGUGAGCACCUCGGAUUUAACUGUCCAGCAUCAUUUGGAGCACAGGGCGGAGGAUUAUACCGAGGAACCACACCCAUGUCAUUUGAAUUGUCCACAAGACCACUAUAAGGACUUUCCAGGACCAUCACAAGGCUGCAAACCGCAUUUGAAGUGCUGCUUCUGGGGCAUUCUUUCCAAAGAGCCUUUUAGCAGGGCAGGGAGUGAAAGGUGAGGACAAGCCUAGGAAAUACAUAAUCCAAGGCUAGGGAGAUAGAAGCUUAAUAUUUACUGCCGUGCCUGGGAAAAGUGAGGCUUG
Molecule: long non-coding RNA, 498 nt
Filed under: Homo sapiens (human)
Lineage: Eukaryota; Metazoa; Chordata; Mammalia; Primates; Hominidae
Description: non-protein coding LINC01883:7
Source: RNAcentral